RNAcentral lists this ribosomal RNA (479 nucleotides) under uncultured bacterium. RNAcentral's name for it is "partial 16S ribosomal RNA". It matches the Rfam family "Bacterial small subunit ribosomal RNA", at positions 28 to 507 of the family's 1533-position model. The record is from RNAcentral.
GAUGAACGCUGGCGGCGUGCUUAACACAUGCAAGUCGAACGAAGCACUUAUCUUUGAUUCUUCGGAUGAAGAGGUUUGUGACUGAGUGGCGGACGGGUGAGUAACGCGUGGGUAACCUGCCUCAUACAGGGGGAUAACAGUUAGAAAUGACUGCUAAUACCGCAUAAGACCACGGAGCCGCAUGGCUCAGUGGGAAAAACUCCGGUGGUAUGAGAUGGACCCGCGUCUGAUUAGGUAGUUGGUGGGGUAACGGCCUACCAAGCCAACGAUCAGUAGCCGACCUGAGAGGGUGACCGGCCACAGUGGGACUGAGACACGGCCCAAACUCCUACGGGAGGCAGCAGUGGGGAAUAUUGCACAAUGGGGGAAACCCUGAUGCAGCGACGCCGCGUGAGCGAAGAAGUAUUUCGGUAUGUAAAGCUCUAUCAGCAGGGAAGAAAAUGACGGUACCUGACUAAGAAGCACCGGCUAAAUACGUG